This 220-nucleotide ribosomal RNA is filed under the name uncultured bacterium. Its description in RNAcentral is "partial 16S ribosomal RNA". It matches the Rfam family "Bacterial small subunit ribosomal RNA", at positions 57 to 305 of the family's 1533-position model. The record is from RNAcentral.
GCAAGUCGAACGAACCGUUUACGGUGAGUGGCGCACGGGUGCGUAACACGUGGGAACAUACCCUUUGGUACGGAAUAACGUUUGGAAACGAACGCUAAUACCGUAUAAUGACUUCGGUCCAAAGAUUUAUCGCCAAAGGAUUGGCCCGCGCUUGAUUAGCUAGUUGGUGAGGUAACGGCUCACCAAGGCGAUGAUCAAUAGCUGGUCUGAGAGGAUGAUC